Molecule: long non-coding RNA, 883 nt
Filed under: Nicotiana benthamiana
Lineage: Eukaryota; Viridiplantae; Streptophyta; Magnoliopsida; Solanales; Solanaceae
Description: long non-coding RNA (NBEN_LNC025997)
Source: RNAcentral
AUGUAGUAUACCAAGUUAACUAGUUGUCGAGAAACUAAUGUACUUAGGGUCGUCUGGUUCACAUACAAUUUACUCCAGUAUUGCUAGAACACAUCUUCUUACUCCACAUUCUAUCCUAUAUUCCUAUGUAAAAUAAUUCAAAGAUUCCUGCAUCACUUUUCUUUAUCAGUAAGAUUCCUGCAUGUCUUAAUGCAGGUUUUAUUUACAUUUCCAACCAAAUGUUGCAUUAGUUAUGCAGGAAUUAGACUAUUUCACCAACCAUACGCUAUAUAGUUGCAUUGGAUUAUUUUUCUAAUCUCUCCAACCAAACACUGCAUUAUUUUAAGCAAGAUUUAUGUUGAGAUUAUUCAUCCUAAUCCCUCCAACAAAAGGAUCCCUGAAGUUAUUGAAAUAGAUGUUCUAGAAGACAAAACAAAUGUUGAAACCAACGAAGCCAGGAAAGGAAAGUAAGAAUAUAUGGAAUACCAUCAUUAUUAUAUGCAAUUGCCAUAAUGGAGAGAGAUGAUUGGAGUUGUUUCUAGGGAAUUAGACUUUUCAUACAGCCAACCAAAUGCUACCUAGUUACAUUGGAUUAUUUUUCUAACCUCUCAACCGAACACUGUAUUAUUUUAAGCAAGAUUUUAUGCUGACAAGAGGGGUUGCUCUGAUGGUAAGCAAUCCCCACUUCCAACCGAGAGGUUGUGAGUUUGAUAACACAUCAAAAUUUCGACGGAUGCUUGUCAGAAGGCCACAUAAUACUCAUAAUUCAAAAAUUUAACUACACAGACAAGAGGGGUUGCUCUAAUGGUAAGCAAUCCUUAUUUCCUACCGAGAGGUUGUGAGUUUGAGUCUCACCAAGAGCAAGGUGGGAAGUUCUUGGAGGGAAGGAUGCCGGGGAUCUAUU